CAAGUUACGGGGGCUGGCGCAAGCCAGUAACCGGCGAACGGGUGCGUAACACGUGAGCGACCUGCCUUAUCGAGGGGGAUAGCCGGCCCAACGGCCGGGUAAUACCGCAUACGCUUGUUUGGGGGCAUCCCUGGACAAGGAAACCUCCGGGGCGAUGAGAGGGGCUCGCGGCCUAUCAGCUAGUUGGCGGGGUAACGGCCCACCAAGGCGAUGACGGGUAGCUGGUCUGAGAGGAUGGCCAGCCACAUUGGGACUGAGAGACGGCCCAGACUCCUACGGGAGGCAGCAGUGGGGAAUCUUGCGCAAUGGCCGAAAGGCUGACGCAGCGACGCCGCGUGGAGGAUGACGCCCUUCGGGGUGUAAACUCCUGUUGCCCGGGACGAAUGCCCUUUUUUGAGGGAGUGACGGUACCGGGUGAGGAAGCACCGGCUAACUCUGUGCCAGCAGCCGCGGUAAUACAGAGGGUGCGAGCGUUGUCCGGAAUCACUGGGCGUAAAGGGCGCGUAGGUGGUUGGGGAAGCGUGUUGGUGAAAGCCCGGGGCUCAACCCCGGGUCGGCCAUGCGAACUGCCCGACUGGAGCACGGUAGAGGCCAAUGGAAUUCCGGGUGUAGCGGUGGAAUGCGUAGAGAUCCGGAAGAACACCGGUGGCGAAGGCGGUUGGCUGGGCCGUGGCUGACACUGAUGCGCGACAGCGUGGGGAGCAAACAGGAUUAGAUACCCUGGUAGUCCACGCCGUAAACGAUGGGCACUAGGUCCUUGGGGGAGCGACCCCCGUGAGGGCCGGCGCUAACGCAUUAAGUGCCCCGCCUGGGGAGUACGGCCGCAAGGCUGAAACUCAAAGGAAUUGACGGGGGCCCGCACAAGCGGUGGAGCAUGUGGUUUAAUUCGACGCAACGCGAAGAACCUUACCUAGGCUUGACAUGCA
RNAcentral lists this ribosomal RNA (926 nucleotides) under uncultured Gemmatimonadota bacterium. RNAcentral describes it as "bacterial SSU rRNA". It matches the Rfam family "Bacterial small subunit ribosomal RNA", at positions 58 to 990 of the family's 1533-position model. Lineage: Bacteria; Pseudomonadati; Gemmatimonadota. The record is from RNAcentral.